RNAcentral lists this ribosomal RNA (425 nucleotides) under Microsporidia sp. clade VII. Its description in RNAcentral is "SSU rRNA". It matches the Rfam family "Eukaryotic small subunit ribosomal RNA", at positions 1341 to 1791 of the family's 1831-position model. The record is from RNAcentral. Lineage: Eukaryota; Fungi; Microsporidia.
CCUUAACCUGCUAAAUAGUGUCGCGAACCUGCGUUCGUGGAUGCUUCUUAGAGGGACUGACCACGUUUAGUGGUAGGAAGUUUGAGGCAAUAACAGGUCUGUGAUGCCCUUAGAUGUUCUGGGCCGCACGCGCGCUACACUGACAAAGUCAGCGAGUAUAUAACCUUGGCCGGAAGGCCUGGGCAAUCUUGUGAAACUUUGUCGUGCUGGGGAUAGACCAUUGCAAUUAUUGGUCUUCAACGAGGAAUUCCUAGUAAGCGCAAGUCAUCAGCUUGCGUUGAUUACGUCCCUGCCCUUUGUACACACCGCCCAUCGCUACUACCGAUUGAAUGGCUUAGUGAGGCCUACGGAUUUGGGCAGUGGCCGCAAGGCUGCUAGCUCGGAGAAGCCGGUCAAACUUGGUCAUUUAGAGGAAGUAAAAGUUG